Molecule: long non-coding RNA, 687 nt
Filed under: Cyanistes caeruleus (blue tit)
Lineage: Eukaryota; Metazoa; Chordata; Aves; Passeriformes; Paridae
Description: lncRNA (ENSCCEG00000005499.1)
Source: RNAcentral
CUCUUCCCAACAGUACUGCUGUCACUCUUUCAUCUUUGCCUCCCUGUUUAGCGGAGCCUUCAUCCACACGUGCAUACAGAGUCAGACUCAGGGUGAUUGAGAAGCAAUCGUUUGCAUAGCAGAAUUUGAUGCAAGUACCUUGUCUGAAAUGUUACACACCUUCCCCUCUUAAGGUUGCUCCUGACAAAGCGGACCAUAUUUAUUUAGCUUAAAAUAUAAGAUGAUCUCAUCUGGCUCUUACAUGACCCCUGACCACAUCACAGGGCAGAAUAAUGCUGUGGUGAUCACAAAGUACACAAAGGAGAAGCAGGAAUCGUUGUGAAUCCUUAUGCAACAAUAAAAGAGGUGUAAUCCAGAGCAGACAUGUGAUUUCUCCAUAUUAGAGGGUGAAUUAUUUUGGUGGCUACAUGUAAUAGAUGGAAAAUUGUUGUAUAGACAACUUCCAUCAGGCUUUUACACUUACUUGAAAAGUUGAUAGCGCUGGAAAAUCCCCUGCUGGAUGGACUUCAGAGGAAACAGGGCAGAGAAGACUUGGAAGACAUUCAGAAAACCUAGUUAUAAACUCAGGAACAUCUUAUUACUUACUAUAUUUCCUCAAGGCAAUGCAUCAUGUAAGUAACACUGACAGAAAGGCUCUGACCCAAGAAUUAAAGCAGAGACCAGAAGUAUUGCUCAUACCGCUUUCAG